This 318-nucleotide unclassified non-coding RNA is filed under the name Ascomycota sp. Its description in RNAcentral is "partial contains small subunit ribosomal RNA, internal transcribed spacer 1, and 5.8S ribosomal RNA". The stretch from base 1 to 47 matches the Rfam family "Eukaryotic small subunit ribosomal RNA", at positions 1785 to 1831 of the family's 1831-position model. Lineage: Eukaryota; Fungi; Ascomycota. The record is from RNAcentral.
AAAGUCGUAACAAGGUUUCCGUAGGUGAACCUGCGGAAGGAUCAUUAACACGUAUCCACGUAUCACCACUCUGUGAACUUAAUCUGUCAAAAGAAAAGUUGUCAAUAUGGUUAGUGAUUGGUGUAUAGCCUUAAAAACUAUAUGCGAUCAUAUUGACUAGGGCUUCGAGCCUAGUGCUUUCUUUUGGCAUCAUCCCUAUCACUUAACAAACCACUUUAACUAUAACUCAUCUUGACUGAUGUACUUAUGUAAGAGAAAUCUGGCAUGAGUCUUUAUCUAAACUAAGCACAACUCUUAGCAAUGGAUAUCUUGGUUCUC